GACGAACGCUGGCGGCGUGCUUAACACAUGCAAGUCGAGCGGAAAGGCUUCCUUCGGGAAGUACUCGAGCGGCGAACGGGUGAGUAACACGUGGAUAACCAACCUCUUGCACUGGAAUACCCCGGGGAAACUCGGAUCAAUGCCAGAUAAAGUGCGGUGCUGCAGGGUGCCGUACCAAAGAUAGCUUCGGCCUUCGGCGAGAGACGGGUCCGCGGCCCAUUAGCUAGUUGGCGGGGUAAUGGCCCACCAAGGCUACGAUGGGUAGCUGGU
Molecule: ribosomal RNA, 270 nt
Filed under: uncultured bacterium
Lineage: Bacteria
Description: partial 16S ribosomal RNA
Rfam family: Bacterial small subunit ribosomal RNA
Source: RNAcentral